Molecule: ribosomal RNA, 469 nt
Filed under: uncultured bacterium
Lineage: Bacteria
Description: partial 16S ribosomal RNA
Rfam family: Bacterial small subunit ribosomal RNA
Source: RNAcentral
GAUGAACGCUGGCGGCGUGCUUAACACAUGCAAGUCGAACGGUGAACACGGAGCUUGCUCUGUGGGAUCAGUGGCGAUCGGGUGAGUAACACGUGAGCAACCUGCCCCUGACUCUGGGAUAAGCGCUGGAAACGGCGUCUAAUACUGGAUAUGUGACGUGACCGCAUGGUCUGCGUUUGGAAAGAUUUUUCGGUUGGGGAUGGGCUCGCGGCCUAUCAGCUUGUUGGUGAGGUAAUGGCUCACCAAGGCGUCGACGGGUAGCCGGCCUGAGAGGGUGACCGGCCACACUGGGACUGAGACACGGCCCAGACUCCUACGGGAGGCAGCAGUGGGGAAUAUUGCACAAUGGGCGCAAGCCUGAUGCAGCAACGCCGCGUGAGGGAUGACGGCCUUCGGGUUGUAAACCUCUUUUAGCAGGGAAGAAGCGAAAGUGACGGUACCUGCAGAAAAAGCGCCGGCUAACUACGUG